GCCGCAGCUGUGACAAUGCCAAAGCCUUCAUCCUUAGGCCACCAGAGAACUCCUUUUUUUUUUUUUUCCCUUUGUUUUUCAGAAAAAAAAUGUUUUUCUUUUUUUUCCUGAAAAGUUUUUAAAAAGUUCAGGCUUCUAGAGUAGCACCUGAAUUGCUUUGCUUGACAUAGAAAGCUUUUCUCAGUCCUGCCUCCAUCUCCCUCUCACACAGGGCUCAUCACGGGCAAAACUCUCAAGUCACAUGUCAGAGUUUUCAAUCUCCCUCUCGCCGGGCUGGUCUGGUCCUGCUGCCACCGUGCCUUUGAGCGCACUGUCUCUGUACUGCUCCCCCUUUCCACAGGCCAACCUCGCCUUGUUUUUCUCUGUCUCAGCUUCUGUGUCACCUCCUCUAGGCAGGGCUACAUGUUUCCUUCCUCCGGGGGCCCGUCCCUAGCUUCCGGACCUUCCAGUGUGGUACUGGUCUCUUUGGAGUGUGAAGCACCUGUUGCCUCCCUUAUUCGACCCCGUAGAGAAUGAAGGUCAGGCCAGUUCAUCUCUGUAUCUUUGGUACCUCGCCCAGGGCCCGAUGCACAAAAGAAAACACAUGCGUUUAUUAGUUUUACGGUGAUUAUAAAUACGUGCCUGUACGCACAGGGGACUUUCGAGUUCUUUGACAACUUUUGUAUAUUUGCUGCCUGGGCCCAGUGCCCCUGAGGCCAGACACUGAUCACAGGUGUACUGUGCCCCCGUUCCUGGCUCAGCAGGUGGGGAUUUGCAGUGAAAUUCCACACGUAUUUUGUCAGGUCCGGCAGCAAUGUGACAUAGCCCCUGCCCUUGUGUUGGUCGCUCUGCUUUGUGAGAUCGGUGGCUCAUGGUGUUUUGGGUUCCAUGACAAUGAUGCUUGGAUCUCAGAAAGCCUAGGAUUACCCUAUGGCCCGAGUCUCUUAAAAUAAGGUAUUUGUAGAGCUAAUGACAAGGAUACACGUUCACUUCUCAGCCCUUGAAGGAAUUCGGCUCACAGCCACCGAGGAGAGAGAGGGGAAGGUUGGUUUGCCGUGAAGUUGGUCUCUUUCCUGUUACCUCAUUCCUGCUCCUCAAUGAUGGAUGCAUAUUUUAAAAUUCGUUUUAGAACCUGAGUCACCCCCCUCCACACAGCAUGACCAGAGAGUAGCCCAGACAUCUUUUACCAGGAGAGAGAGCCUGGCCCUGGAGCCGGACACACAUCUGGUUUCAGCUUUAUGGCCUAGAAGCUUGGUGACCUUUGUUUGACAAAGGGUGUAUAUUGUGCGAGCUUUGGUAUCACCCUGUGUUGAGUAAGGAAGGAGCCUUCCCUAGCAGGGUAGCUUUGGAGAUCAAGCUGGUUAAAUGCUUCUGGAAACUGUGAAGCACUCUCCAGAGGUAGCCUUUUGAGAGCAAAGAGAAAGAACAGAGGCUAGAACAAGAGCGAGGGAAAGGGACCUGGUAAAAGAGAGGCAGGAAGAAGAGAACGGCAGGAAUGGGGCCAUCAGGUGGGAUGGGGAAGACGGCCCAUCACUUGGCUCUCCCACUGGAGGUGGUCUGUGUCUCCAGUAGCAUGGGCUGAGACCACACGGGUUGUGUGCAGAUGCUAGGGAGGUGCUGGGGAUGCAGGAGUCAGGGGACACCUGUUCCAAAGAGCAAGGCCUUUAGAUCCAGCUUUUCAACCUUGGCACUCUUGACAUUUGGGGCUGGAUAUUUCUUUGGUGUGUGUGUGGUUUUCCUUUUUUUUUUUUUUUUUUUUCUCCUUUUUAGGGCCACAGGUGCAGCAUAGAGAGGUUCCCAGGCUAGGGGUUGAAUUGAGCUAUGGCUGCUGGGUUACACCAGAGCCACAGCAAUGCAGGAUCUGAGCCACAUCUGCAGCCUACACCACAGUUCAUGGCAACACUGGAUUCUUAACCAGGGAUCAAAUGAGGCCAGGGAUGGAACUCAUGUCCUCAUGGGUGCUAGUCUGGUUCGUUUCUGUUGAGCCACGAGAACACCCUUCUUUUUUUUUUUUUUUUUUUUGUCUUUACCUACUAGAUAAUCAUCACCCCUCUGUUCCCCAGUUAUGACAACCCCAAAUGUCUCCACACACUGACCAGUGCCCCCUGUGUGGGGGGGAAUCACUCCCAUGGAGCACCAGUGUUCUACACAGGUAUUUGCCAGCCUACCUACAGCCCGUUGAGGAGUGAGGCAGCUCCCAGGGUGUCGGGCGGAUCACCCCUGGCUCGGGAGACCCUGAGCCCUCUACCCAGAAGGAUGAAGCCCAUAAGGCUUUGAAAGCAAGUUGACUCUCAGCUUCUUCAGUAAAGACCCUGCCAGAAAUCAGUUCCGGGAGAUUGUUUUCCAAGUGGGGAAGGAGAGAAUGAGAAAGCUAGUAGUAAGAACCCUUGGAAUGAAAGAGGCCCUGUGUGUCUUUAGGGAGCUGUUUCUCAGCUCUAGGCACAGACGUGUGGUCAAGGGGUGAACACAGUGACCCAAAGGAACCCCGGCUGAUGUCCCCUCUGGAUGAACAAGCUUCUUGGGGUCAAUGAAGAAGAGGAGGGAAGUGGGGUCUUUUCCUACUUUGGAGUUUUCAACAACAACAGCAGAAAACCCUUGCUGUAACUGGUUUCAUUUCCUCUGUUUUCUAGGAAGUGCCUAAUUUUCUGUACUCCCCCCAAGACUGCUUUGCUAAGAAAUAACCCAUGUCAAUUCUUGAUAAAGCAGUGGAAUUCUUGAGUCUUGGGAUGGAAAGACCCAGGAGGCUUUUAGACCCAGCAUGUCUCCCAGACUGUAUAGUUUCUUGUACGCUGGUCAGAGAUGCAUUUGCAAAGAUUAUUUGAUGUUAAAAAAAGGUGUUGGGGAGUUCCCGUUGUGGCUAAGCGGUAAUGAACCUGACUAGUAUCCAUGAGAAGUUGUUUUGACCCCUGGCCUCGCUCAGUGGGUUAAGGAUCCAGUGUUGCAGUGAACUUUGGUCUAGGUUGCAAACCUGACUUGGAUCUGGUGUUGCUGUGGCUCCGGCAUAGGCUGGCGGCUACAGUCCAAUUUGACCCCUAGCCUGGGGACUUCAUAUGCUGUGGGUGCGGCCCUAAAAAGCCAAAAAAGGAAAAAAGUUGUUGAGCAGGAAAAUUACAAAGAAGAAAGUAGAUGCAACAUCCCCCGUACAUUUGCAAAAAAAAAAUUUUUUUUUUUAAAUGUGUGUAAUCCUCCAGUCUAUAGGAGGC
This 3182-nucleotide long non-coding RNA is filed under the name Sus scrofa (pig). Its description in RNAcentral is "lncRNA (ENSSSCG00000059032.1)". Lineage: Eukaryota; Metazoa; Chordata; Mammalia; Artiodactyla; Suidae. The record is from RNAcentral.